Molecule: ribosomal RNA, 253 nt
Filed under: uncultured bacterium
Lineage: Bacteria
Description: partial 16S ribosomal RNA
Rfam family: Bacterial small subunit ribosomal RNA
Source: RNAcentral
UACAGAGGGGGCAAGCGUUAUUCGGAAUUAUUGGGCGUAAAGGGCGCGUAGGCGGCCUGGCAAGUGGAAGGUGAAAUCCCUCGGCUUAACCGAGGAACUGCCCUCCAAACUGCUUGGCUUGAGUCCGGGAGAGGUGAGUGGAAUUCCGAGUGUAGAGGUGAAAUUCGUAGAUAUUCGUAAGAACACCAGUGGCGAAGGCGGCUCACUGGACCGGCAUUGACGCUGAGGUGCGAAAGCGUGGGGAGCAAACAGG